UUCAAAAGGCACUUACCAGAGUGAUGACGGAACCUGUCAUGAAUCGACCAUCUAUCUAUUCACCGUUGUGGGAAUCUCAAGUAUCUAUCGGCACUGGGGAAGCCAAUCCAAAUUUUACUGUUGCGUAAAAUUUCUGGCAUUUCCCAGAGUCAAGUAUAUACUUUUUUACAAGGUUGUGUUUCUUCUCACUGUGUGCACGUCCUCUCAACUUACACAGUUUUAUUAGACCAAUUUUAUGGAAGUGGUAAUGAGACUUGUGUGGUGACAUCGGUCAUGGGCAGAGCGGGUUAUCUUGAUCAAGAGUACUAUAGUUAUCAAGGGUUGAAUGAAAAAAUUGAUUUUUACAGUUUUACUGGCCAACCUGCAACCAUAGAAAGUGAUGAUCUUGUCCACAUAGUGGAGUGGGUGAAUCCAGAAUGGGGUUUUAACAACGAAUUUGGAUCAAAGGAUUCAAGGAGAGUUCGAUGUGAAUUUGGUCUGGAAAGCAUUAGAGACAGCAAUGACAUGCACAACUUCCACCUCCCAGCAUAGAGCCACCAUGGUUGGUUUUGUGCUGCGUCAACUAACAAAAUGUAUGGAAUGAAGGUGUCUAAGCAUCGAGAAAGAACUCCAGGCUCUAAUGAAGAAGCUCGUGUUAUGAUUUCACCAUACCAGAGUUCACCUAGAGUGAUUUCCAUAUGUUGAGGUCGAGUUAUCUAGAAUACUUUAAACACAGAUAAAUUGGAUUUGUAUUUCUGCUCACUUAAGAAGGGCAUCCAGUAGGAAAAUUGCAUUAAGAGAGGAGCAAGCGCAGUGCAAUAAAAACUUGGACGCGUAAAUAGCAGAUUUCGGUCUGUCCGGUGUUGUUUUCAGUGAUAAUGAGACUUGUGUGGUAACAUCGGUCAUGGGCAGAGUGGGUUAUCUUGAUCCAGAGUCUGCAGGUACUAUAAUUAUCAAAGGUUGAAUGGAAAAAAUUGAUUUUGAGAGCUUUACUGGCCAACCUGCAAUCAUAGAAAUUGAUGAUCUUGUCCACAUAGUGCAGUGGGUGAACCCUGAGUUCCAGAAUGGGAUUUAACAACUAUUUUGUAUCGAAUGAUUUGAGGAGAGUUCGAUGUGAAUUUGGCCUGGAAAGCUUUAGAGGCAGCAAUGGUAUGCACAACUUUCACCUGCCAACAUAGAGCCACCGUGGGUUUUGUGCUGUGCCAACUAACACAAUGUAUGGAAUAGAGGUGUCUAGGCAUCGACAAAGAACUCCAGGCUCAAAUGAAGAAACUCGUAUUACGAUUUCACCAUACCAGAGUUCACCUAGAAUGAUUUCCAUUGGUUCAGAUUCCACAAAUGCAGGUUCAAUUUCAGCACCAUGCUAGAUUCAAGCAAGUGCAAGAAGAACGUGGUUGUUCCAAUACUUGGAUCCUUACUGUCAGCAGUGGCCCUCCUCCAAGUUAUAGUGCUCAAACUGGUAUGGAAGCUGAGAAGAAUAAGAAAACCAACUGCAGAUGGAGAUAAACGUAACAACACUCCUGUAGCAUCAGAAGUCCUAGUUCACUUAUGAUGAGGUUUUAGAAAUCACCUAAAACUUUAAAACGGAAAUUUGGAAAGGAGGUUUGGGAUUGUAUACCAUGGCUAGUUGAAAUAUGGCACUCAAGUUGUGGUUCUACAUCGUCAUCUCAAGGAGCUAGCUCAGCUAGGGAGUUCCAAACGGAGGUUGAGCUCCUGAUGAGAAUCCAUCAUAGAAACUUGGCCUCAUUUAUUGGAUACUGUGAUGAUACCUAUAAGUUGGCACUUAUAUACAAGCACAUGCCUAAUGAAAACCUAAAAGAAUAUCUCUGAUCAGAUGCAGAUAGAAGCUCACAUAAACUUGGGAAAUGAGACUAUAGCAUUAGAUAGGUGCUUAGUGUUAUUUUGUAUGCUACUAUAUAUGCACAAUCCAGUAUUGUGCAUAGCGGUGUAAAGACCGCCAACAUUCUCUUGUCUUGAAUUAAAACUUAGAUGCAAAAUAGCAGAUUUUGGUC
Molecule: long non-coding RNA, 1991 nt
Organism: Pyrus x bretschneideri (Chinese white pear)
Lineage: Eukaryota; Viridiplantae; Streptophyta; Magnoliopsida; Rosales; Rosaceae
Exons: 10
Source: RefSeq, a predicted model, not a curated record